GGCAUUUUUGUGAUUUGCAGCU
Molecule: microRNA, 22 nt
Filed under: Salmo salar (Atlantic salmon)
Lineage: Eukaryota; Metazoa; Chordata; Actinopteri; Salmoniformes; Salmonidae
Description: ssa-miR-153a-5p
Gene: ssa-miR-153a-5p
Source: miRBase by way of RNAcentral